Molecule: long non-coding RNA, 3240 nt
Filed under: Homo sapiens (human)
Lineage: Eukaryota; Metazoa; Chordata; Mammalia; Primates; Hominidae
Description: HSALNT0304811
Source: RNAcentral
UCAGUGUCCAACUUGUUUUUUGAAGUCAGCAUAAUCACAUCAAAAGCUGACAAGUCCCUUCUCCCUCUUCCCUCAGACUCUGCUCUCCUCAGUGGGCAGGACUCUGUGCUUCUCCAAAUCACACCCUACUUCAGUGUCUAGUUCAAAUCCUACCACCUCCAAGAAGUGUUCCCCAAAUGCAUAUCACAUUAGAUGUAUAGAUGUUAUAAAAUUGUAUCUAUUUAUAUAGUUUCAGAGCUGAAAGGAGGCUUUGAGAUCAUUUUAUGAAGUCCCAGCAAGUCUCCAGCCAGAACCGGAAAACAAGCCUCCCAACAUUUUGUUCAGGGUUCUUUUCACCACACUAUUGAAGGUCACUCUUCAACGCAGCAACAUUAUGAAGUGGAAAAGAGGACACAGGCUUUGGUUGGAGUUACUUUAAUGUAGACUUCUCCUUAAUUGCUUUUUGAAAUAGUUUGUGUAGCAUCAUAGAGAAACAUUUCCAUCCCUAAACUUGUAAUGUAAUCUUAUGAAAUAUCAGAAGACUACACAAAGAUGACCUAAAAUAUUAAUAUUUUAAGAGUGGUCUUGACUUUCUCUUGUGACCCUGUAUUAUGGGGAAGGAACCACCUCUUACAAAAUACCUACUACUAAGUGUGGGGAACUUCUGUAAACCAGAUGUGAUGCUAAACAAUUUAUAUGCCUUCAUUUACCCAGUCCUAACCCUAAUCCUACAGGCCUGCCUCGUGGUGCUGGCAGGAACAGAUGGCACAUACAUAAGGGUAGCUAAAGAGACAUUAAUGAACGAAUAAUUUACAAAGGUGUCUUCAUCAUGAAGAGAGCACAAAAAGGAGCAGCUGAAACACUCAGGGACUAGGUCUUCAGAGGCCAAGUGGAGGGGAUGGUGCCCCCAGAACUUGAGCAAAAUAAAUGCCCUUACAGAGGGCUCUGUGUCUCCAUGGAGGACAGCAACCAUGGGCCAGUAGGCAGAGGAUGAGGAGGAAUGAUAAUCUCAUUCCCCUCCAGCCCUGGGACACUGCUUCCCAUGGCUGAAUCCAGAUACUCAGAGAGAUUCAGCUGAUCUCGCUAGAGUUCAGCCUUCAAACAUAGGGCAGAGAAGUAGACCCCACCAGGUACUGCUGCCUUACAGAUGAAGAAACCAAGGUACCCCAGGACUCAUACCCAGGCAUUUCAGAUUCCAAAGCUAUGAUCCUAUUUGCCUUGCUGACCACCAAAAGGUGUACAGGGGAUGUACACUAUACUCUUUUUCUCUGCGUAUUUUUGCUUUCUUAUUAGACAAAGUCUUGAUACAGCAAGUUUCCUUUUAUCCUGUAUGUAGUUGGAAGGUCUGAUGCUCAAAAGGUACAAAAAAUGUCAAUUAAGUAAAAAUUGUCUAUUAACCUAGUGUGGUAUGGGAGUGUGGAUGUGGGUGUAUGAGAGACUGAGGCAGGGAAAACACAUCAACACAUAUACUUUUUUAAAAAGCAAACCUUUCCUGGUGCAGUUCUACAGGAUCCUGUCAGAUCUUGUAUUUUCUCUAAGUUACAACAAAGCAAGAGUACCAUUUUUUUCACUCUAUAAGAUAAAACUUCUGUCAAUUAGGAAAAACAAUGCUGAUCUCUGGUUCCUUUAAAUUCCCCAAUUUCCACUUAUAGUUCUGGGGAGGAGCAUCAAGAGACCUCAAAUCAGAGCGUUGGCCACAUGUGCGUGAACAGAAAAAUGGACACCUACUUUAAGCCUUAUCCAAAAUUUCAGUUAAUUUUCUUUUUUUCUUCUUAAUUUUUGUGGAUGCAUUGUAGGUGUAUAUAUUUAUGGGGUGCAUGACUUGUUUUGAUAUAGGCAUGCAUCAUUUUAUUAGGGUGCUUUGUCUGGAGCUUAUUUUUUACUAACAAAGCAAAUAAGAAAAGUAAAAACCAAGUAAUGCAAACAUAAAAUAUCACCCUUUAUUAUAAAAUGUACAAUUCUGCUUAUUCUCUAACUAGAACAACUCAACAUAAUGAUAAAGUUGUGAUUGCAAAAGACAGGCAACUGCUAUGGGGACCUUGUUUGCCAUGUUUCUGAUAAUGGUGCAAUUGUAGGAAGCUGGAUCUCUAAUAAAAAGACUAUGGGCUGCUGCAACUCUAGGAAUGGAAGCUUCACAUCUACCAUCUACUGCUUGCUGCAUACCCCACUGCAUCGGUCACUGAGGCGCCCAAUACCUGAGGAAUUGAAAUCAACAUUAUGUUAAGAUGCGGGAGCUCUCAGAGAACAUGCAGCCACUCUUAGGAAGUACAAGAGGACUGGAGGGGGAGUCCUAUAGACUGAAUGCUUCCAUCCCCCCCGCCGGAAUCAUAUGUUGAAAUUCUAAUCCUCAACGUCAUGGUAUUAAGAGGUGGGGCUUUUGGGAGGUGGUGAGGUCCUGAGGGUAGUGCCCUCCUCCAUGAAAUUAGUACCUUUAUGAAAAGAGACAGGAGAAAGCUUGCUUCUUUUGUCUCUUCUCUCCCAAGUAAAGACACACCAGAGGAGAGUCAUCUGCCAACCCGGAAGAGGGCCCUCACCAGAACCUGACCAUGCUGGCACCCUGAUCUCAGGCUGCCCAGGCUACAGAACUGUGAGAAAGAAUUCUGUUGUAUAAACCACCCAGGCUAUGGUAUUGGCAAUAGCAGCAUGAGCAGCAUAAAAUAGGGCAGGUUCAAGGCCUUUACCUAAGAACCUGAUGCUCAAAAGAUACAAAAAGUGUCUAUAUUCCCAUCAACAAUCCAUUCUCCUGAUGAACUUGCCAGUAUCCUGAGGUUUGCAGCCAGGGAAGUCAGCCCAUGUUUGCUAAAUAAAUGAAUGAGAAGUGGAAGUGGAGAUGAUGGAGCAGGUACAUGGCUGAAAACCUGUUUAUGUCAGAGCCCAUUUCCUACCUUUUUACCUACCUAGAAGGCAGCCAGCACUUCUCAGUUCCAUCAUACAGAGAACAUUUUGCUGAGAUGACACCAACUUCCAGUUCUUCACAAAGAUGCAGCCCUCAGCCUUCAGCAUGAGAACAGGGACAUCAGCCUGCUUUGCCCAUGGAACUGUCUCCAGAGCCUACAACAAUGCUCAGCCUAUGAGAGGUGUCUCCUAGAAGACUUUCCAUUUCAACAAGCCUCAUUUAUAUGCAACUGGCAAUUUCUCUAAACAGAAGAAAAGGGGAGAUUUUGCCAAUCAAUUGGCUUCACCAUCCCCCAGCCCCAAAGUGUGUUUAAGAACAUUUGCCUGUGCAUGCAUGUGUUUUCCUUUGCAUCCCACAAGAGGAAG